CUGCCGUGGGGGAGGGGAGCCCCGGAGCGGGGCCCGGAAUCCGGCCUCUGGGGACCCUGGAGUCCUGAGCGAACAAUGUGGGGGCCGAGAGGAGCGGAACUGCGUGCGGCGCUGCGCGAGCGGGCAGGCAAUCCCGGGCAGCGUUUGUGUGUGAGAGUGCAAUGGGAGCUCAGUCCCUCCCGCCUCCUCCGCCUCCUCCUCCUCUUCCUCCUCCUCCUCCUCCGUCUCCUCCUCCUCCCUCAAGCACACCCCGUCUCCCAGGCCACAGCAUAGCAACCGAACAUGGCGGCUGCGCAGACGCCGCCAGUCAGCAGCCAGGAACGGCGGUGGCGGCCACUGGAGGCGAUCUCGCGAGAGACGAGGCCAAGCCCCUUCCCCGCCAGCACCGGCUGGAAGAUGUUACACCAGCCCGAGAGCCGGGGGACGCGCAGGUGCGAGGGAGGCCGGACCUGGAUCUGGAUGUAAGAAGUCCAAAAUGGAUUGACAGAGGAGAUGGGAUGAAGAUGGUGGAAUAGAAGGAAUAGAGAUCAACCUCUUUCCUAAAAAUGAUAAAAUCUACAACCGAAUGCUGAGAAAUCUUCAACCAAAUGGACCAAAACCUUUCAAAAAGACAUCCUACUCCAGAAGACAAAGAGGAGGCCACAUCAAGAGUGGUACAAAAUUGAAUUGUUAAAAAUAUCUGACAAUUAGAGAUAGUCUAAAACAGCAAUAAAGUAAAAAUGUUAUCAUACUACAUAUUUUCUUAGUAUUAAGAAAUGGAAUUGCUUAUUCAAAUGAUUUUAAAUCAUUUGCUUAAUAGAAAUAAUUUUUACAUGAUAAGAAUAAAGUAGCAGAAUGA
RNAcentral lists this long non-coding RNA (838 nucleotides) under Sus scrofa (pig). RNAcentral describes it as "lncRNA (ENSSSCG00035001896.1)". Lineage: Eukaryota; Metazoa; Chordata; Mammalia; Artiodactyla; Suidae. The record is from RNAcentral.